RNAcentral lists this ribosomal RNA (238 nucleotides) under uncultured bacterium. Its description in RNAcentral is "partial 16S ribosomal RNA". It matches the Rfam family "Bacterial small subunit ribosomal RNA", at positions 15 to 236 of the family's 1533-position model. The record is from RNAcentral.
GAUCAUGGCUCAGGAUGAACGCUGGCGGCGUGCCUAACACAUGCAAGUCGAACGAAGCGAUUUAACGGAAGUUUUCGGAUGGAAGUUGAAUUGACUGAGUGGCGGACGGGUGAGUAACGCGUGGGUAACCUGCCUUGUACUGGGGACAACAGUUAGAAAUGACUGCUAAUACCGCAUAAGCGCACAGUAUCGCAUGAUACAGUGUGAAAAACUCCGGUGGUACAAGAUGGACCCGNGU